AGUGAACGCUGGCGGUAGGCCUAACACAUGCAAGUCGAACGGCAGCACAGGAGAGCUUGCUCUCUGGGUGGCGAGUGGCGGACGGGUGAGGAAUACAUCGGAAUCUACUCUGUCGUGGGGGAUAACGUAGGGAAACUUACGCUAAUACCGCAUACGACCUACGGGUGAAAGCAGGGGACCUUCGGGCCUUGCGCGAUUGAAUGAGCCGAUGUCGGAUUAGCUAGUUGGCGGGGUAAAGGCCCACCAAGGCGGCGAUCCGUAGCUGGUCUGAGAGGAUGAUCAGCCACCCUGGAACUGAGACACGGUCCAGACUCCUACGGGAGGCAGCAGUGGGGAAUAUUGGACAAUGGGCGCAAGCCUGAUCCAGCCAUACCGCGUGGGUGAAGAAGGCCUUCGGGUUGUAAAGCCCUUUUGUUGGGAAAGAAAUCCAGCUGGCUAAUACCCGGUUGGGAUGACGGUACCCAAAGAAUAAGCACCGGCUAACCUCGUGCCAGCAGCCGCCGUAA
Molecule: ribosomal RNA, 506 nt
Filed under: uncultured bacterium
Lineage: Bacteria
Description: partial 16S ribosomal RNA
Rfam family: Bacterial small subunit ribosomal RNA
Source: RNAcentral